UAAAAUAGGUGCAGAAAAAGGCGUUGAUCGUUUGAAGUUAGAUCAGGAGGUUACAAGCAAUCAAAAUGUUUGUUUAACCGAGAAAGUGAAAGAAGCGGCAGUGGCAACGGAAGCGGUAGUGACAGCAGAAGCGGUAGUGGCAACGGAAGUGGUAAUGACAACAGUAACAGGAGCAGCGAUAGCAACAGUAGCAAAAACAGAUACAGCAACAGAAACAGAAAAAAAACCAGAAAAAAAACCAGAAACAGCAACAAUAACACCACUACCAUUAACAACAACACCACUACCAUUAACAACAACACCACUACCAUUAACAACAACACAACCACCAUUAACAACAACAACACCACCACCAUUAACAACAACAACAACAACACCACCACCAUUAACAACAACAACAACAACAAAAAGGGAAAACGAAAGUGUACAGGAAAGUGUACAGGAAAGUGAUACAAAGAAGCUACACAAUGAGCCUAAGACUAGUGGAAUAAGUAAUUAUUAUAAUAUCGAUCCAAACGUGAACCGUUUUUUAAACAACUACAUAAUGGAUAAUAUACCUAACAAUGUUAUUAAUGAUAAUAUGAUUAAUAAUAAGCGUAGUAGUAGCAGCUCAAGUAAUUAUAUUCAUAAGUAUAUUGCAAAAGAUAAAGAAGAAAUGAUAACAAAUGUUGCAGGAGGUAUAGCAACAAAAGAAGAACGCAAUAAAAACGGAAACAUAAGAAUAAAUGACGUGGUUACACAAGCAAAAGCAGAAAAUAAAAAUGCUGAAGAACGUAGUUAUAAUCAGAAUAUAUUAUCAUAUAACAACCAUGACAUUAUAAAAAAAAGUUUGGAGGGUAUUAGUGAGUACGAAAAUCAACAACGUAGUAAGUUCGAAAAUAAAGAUGAACAUCUUAGUGGUGUGACACAAAAACAAAAUUUUAGUAAAAAUAUUUUAUCAUAUAUACGUGAACAACAAAAUGUAUCACCUUCGAAUUAUAUAUCAAAUUUUGAGCAUACAAUAGGGAAUACAGAAAAUGAGUAUAGUACUAAUGCCACGUUUAGAAAAACCAAUUCUGAAGAAGAUAUACAAAAAAAAAUAAUAAUAGAAAAAAGAUACAUAUUUGACAGUAUAAUGAUCGAGUAUGAAAUGCUUAAA
This 1138-nucleotide long non-coding RNA is filed under the name Piliocolobus tephrosceles (Ugandan red Colobus). RNAcentral's name for it is "lncRNA (ENSPTEG00000000495.1)". The record is from RNAcentral. Lineage: Eukaryota; Metazoa; Chordata; Mammalia; Primates; Cercopithecidae.